GGCGGACGGGUGAGUAAUGCUUGGGAACAUGCCUUGAGGUGGGGGACAACAGUUGGAAACGACUGCUAAUACCGCAUAAUGUCUACGGACCAAAGGGGGCUUCGGCUCUCGCCUUUAGAUUGGCCCAAGUGGGAUUAGCUAGUUGGUGAGGUAAUGGCUCACCAAGGCGACGAUCCCUAGCUGGUUUGAGAGGAUGAUCAGCCACACUGGGACUGAGACACGGCCCAGACUCCUACGGGAGGCAGCAGUGGGGAAUAUUGCACAAUGGGCGCAAGCCUGAUGCAGCCAUGCCGCGUGUGUGAAGAAGGCCUUCGGGUUGUAAAGCACUUUCAGUCAGGAGGAAAGGUUAGUAGUUAAUACCUGCUAGCUGUGACGUUACUGACAGAAGAAGCACCGGCUAACUCCGUGCCAGCAGCCGCGGUAAUACGGAGGGUGCGAGCGUUAAUCGGAAUUACUGGGCGUAAAGCGUACGCAGGCGGUUUGUUAAGCGAGAUGUGAAAGCCCCGGGCUCAACCUGGGAACUGCAUUUCGAACUGGCAAACUAGAGUGUGAUAGAGGGUGGUAGAAUUUCAGGUGUAGCGGUGAAAUGCGUAGAGAUCUGAAGGAAUACCGAUGGCGAAGGCAGCCACCUGGGUCAACACUGACGCUCAUGUACGAAAGCGUGGGGAGCAAACGGGAUUAGAUACCCCGGUAGUCCACGCCGUAACUUGCCUUUUUCUAGAAGCUCGGAGCCUCGGUUC
Molecule: ribosomal RNA, 740 nt
Filed under: uncultured Pseudoalteromonas sp.
Lineage: Bacteria; Pseudomonadati; Pseudomonadota; Gammaproteobacteria; Alteromonadales; Pseudoalteromonadaceae
Description: bacterial SSU rRNA
Rfam family: Bacterial small subunit ribosomal RNA
Source: RNAcentral